This 490-nucleotide ribosomal RNA is filed under the name uncultured bacterium. RNAcentral describes it as "partial 16S ribosomal RNA". It matches the Rfam family "Bacterial small subunit ribosomal RNA", at positions 30 to 507 of the family's 1533-position model. The record is from RNAcentral.
AUUGAACGCUGGCGGCAGGCCUAACACAUGCAAGUCGAACGGUAACAGGGAUCAGCUUGCUGAUUCGCUGACGAGUGGCGGACGGGUGAGUAAUGUCUGGGAAACUGCCUGAUGGAGGGGGAUAACUACUGGAAACGGUAGCUAAUACCGCAUAACGUCGCAAGACCAAAGAGGGGGACCUUCGGGCCUCUUGCCAUCGGAUGUGCCCAGAUGGGAUUAGCUAGUAGGUGGGGUAACGGCUCACCUAGGCGACGAUCCCUAGCUGGUCUGAGAGGAUGACCAGCCACACUGGAACUGAGACACGGUCCAGACUCCUACGGGAGGCAGCAGUGGGGAAUAUUGCACAAUGGGCGCAAGCCUGAUGCAGCCAUGCCGCGUGUAUGAAGAAGGCCUUCGGGUUGUAAAGUACUUUUAGCGGGGAGGAAGGGAGUAAAGUUAAUACCUGUGCUCAUUGACGUUACCCGCAGAAGAAGCACCGGCUAACUCCGUG